RNAcentral lists this long non-coding RNA (2402 nucleotides) under Mus musculus (house mouse). RNAcentral describes it as "RIKEN cDNA 2610307P16 gene". The record is from RNAcentral. Lineage: Eukaryota; Metazoa; Chordata; Mammalia; Rodentia; Muridae.
ACUCUGAUGAACUCCUUCUCCAGCUCCCUGGACGCCCGAGUAUCUCUUUCUCGCAACUUUGUCAACGCGACUUUCUCCGCUGUCAGGCUGCGCAAAAGUAUCCUAGCGCCUCGCAGGCUGCAACAAUGGAAACAAUGUCCCUUCAAAGUGCGACGAAGUGGAGGGAGAAGGUGUCAUACCAGCGACUCCAAGAGUCAUGUCACCCACUUAGCAGGAGUACUUCUACUGAAAUGCCUUCGAAUUUCUCUUACUGGAUAUAUACCUACCAGCCGCUAGCAUGAAGAUGCCAGGACCGCUGCAAGUUAGCACUGGACAAAGUAGCAUCAACUUCUUCAUUUAGAGUUUCUUCAGUUAAAUUGCUGGGAUUUUCGACAAGGCUUUCCUUAUGUGGAUUAUUGGAGUGUGAUGCCCGAGAAUUCUCUACUUGUAGAAGCACGCCCACGGGACUGCAGAAGCCUUCACACCCACCCAGCACGCUCAGGGUUGAUGGCCUAACACUGGCUUAACACUCAUGUCGGCUGCACUAAUUGAAGUCACAUCCAAGUGGGUCAAUGCACUGAACAUAUCUGAUAUAGAAGGUCCCAGAUCCUGAAUUUUUAUCAAUGGUUUGCUGUAUAAGGCUUGCCUCCCAAAUAGCUGAGGACCCUUAUUUGGGAAGAUACGUUCUGAUGGUUAAGCAACAGCACAGAUGUCGAUGGGAAUGAGUGAUGGCCAUCCAGUGACCAGCUGGAUCUGACUGCCUUACAAGACGCAUGUGUAUGAUUAAGAGAGAGACAUUCGUGACUCCCAGAUGUACCUCCUUCCUGUCCCACAGUGUUCCUGAAGGGAGUGAGUUAUGGGGUAACUUAUAACACAGCAGGCUCUUCCUCAAGAUAGCUCUUGUCAAAACAGGAAGACGAAACUCGGGUUUCCAUGAGGAGACCACAGCUUGGGAUCCUGUCUGGAUGUACAAGCAGAAGCAUCUUCAUACUUUUCCAUUUCUAACCAUCAUGCCUCACCCCACCCUCCCAAGGCGACAUCUGCAGAGAGGAGAAUGAGGAGGAAGAGGAGGAGAAAGAGGAGGAGGAAGUAAGACAGAGGGGGACAAGAGGACCAAGAGGGCACAUGGCUGAGGAGGAGGAGAACAACAACAACAACAACAACAACAACAACAACAAGAAGCUUGGUGUUUUCAGGAUGUGUUCCUGAGUCUCGUGAGUAGCACAUGGCAGUUGUUGUCACCUUGGGCUGAGCCGUGAAGAUUCUCACCCUCCCUUGUUGGGGAUGAACUCCGGGAUUCUAAGGAGAGGUCAGCAGGUGUUUCACAGACUGUUCCUGUUGGAGGAUUUGUCUGAUACUCUUCUCCUGAUUAGUCUGGGCUCUACAUUUCCCCAAGGGUGAAACUUGGAAGCCCUCUCCAGGAUGCAGCAGGUAGCUGAGGAGAAAACGAAGACUGACCAGCCCAGAGCUCAGAGCUUCCUCCCAUGCUCAGGAUUUACCACCAAUGCCAUUACAUCGGCCUCUUCUUGUAUGCCUCUGGAAACCACAUGUGUCCUCUGUUUGUAAUGGUUUGGCUAUGGUUGCUGGCCCCUCUUGGACAUUGUUUUCAGAACUUAAAGAAACAUUGCUUUAAAGAUUUAUUAGAACAUAUUUAAAAUAAAACCAUCUUCUCAUUUAGUAUGCAAUUGAUUCUUCCCAUUUCCUCAGUCAAAACUCAUUGAUCAAAUUUAUUUGAGAAAUCCAGACAUGUAUAUAGCGUAUUGGGGUUAUUCCCAUCCUCCCCCAUAUUCUCUUAUCUCCCUUCCAGCCCUGACGCCCUCAGUCCUCCCUAUGGGCCUAUUCACACAAUCAUGUCUUUUUGUUUUAUGAACCAUUGAUUUUAACCGGGGCCAUCUGUGUUGCCAUGGCUUUAGAAUUAUCUACUGGAACUGGUUGGCUCAAAAUAGACAAAGACUUUCCCUUCCCCCAAGUCCAUCAUAGCUAGGAAUUCAGUCCCUCCGGUCCCCUCCCCAAUUCAUAAUUGACUGUUAGAAAGCCUAGUUUAAUGCAGGCCCUGUGUAGGUACCCAUAGCUACUGUGAGGUCACACCUGAAGAUGUGAAGCCCUUUUCCCUGUCUUCCAUUUCCACUUCUGUGUUCCCUGAGCCCUAGAUGGGAUAGUAUGAAUGUUCUGAUAAUCCGACCAAGUGGUAGUAUAUGUGUUCACUUAGAUAAAACAAAGACAAUACCAAUAGGAAAUGUAUUAUAAGCCCUGCACAUGCUAAAAAUAUAUGUAGCAAAUAACAUUAUUAUAUAAAUUCAGGGUCAUUGCUCUAUGUCAAUGUCAGUGACGUAUCAGUUUCAAAGGAUUUAUAUCACUGUUAAGUUAGAAAUAAUCCACUCUUGCUUGUUGUACAGUGCAUUUGUCCAGAUAGCCUACAAAAA